UUAAUAUUCCUGUACUUGGUGUUACUGCGAAGGGGGGACGGAGAAGGCUAUGUUGGCCGGGCGACGGUUGUCCCGGUUUAAGCGUGUAGGCUGGUUUUCCAGGCAAAUCCGGAAAAUCAAGGCUGAGGCGUGAUGACGAGGCACUACGGUGCUGAAGCAACAAAUGCCCUGCUUCCAGGAAAAGCCUCUAAGCAUCAGGUAACAUCAAAUCGUACCCCAAACCGACACAGGUGGUCAGGUAGAGAAUACCAAGGCGCUUGAGAGAACUCGGGUGAAGGAACUAGGCAAAAUGGUGCCGUAACUUCGGGAGAAGGCACGCUGAUAUGUAGGUGAAGCGACUUGCUCGUGGAGCUGAAAUCAGUCGAAGAUACCAGCUGGCUGCAACUGUUUAUUAAAAACACAGCACUGUGCAAACACGAAAGUGGACGUAUACGGUGUGACGCCUGCCCGGUGCCGGAAGGUUAAUUGAUGGGGUCAGCGCAAGCGAAGCUCUUGAUCGAAGCCCCGGUAAACGGCGGCCGUAACUAUAACGGUCCUAAGGUAGCGAAAUUCCUUGUCGGGUAAGUUCCGACCUGCACGAAUGGCGUAAUGAUGGCCAGGCUGUCUCCACCCGAGACUCAGUGAAAUUGAACUCGCUGUGAAGAUGCAGUGUACCCGCGGCAAGACGGAAAGACCCCGUGAACCUUUACUAUAGCUUGACACUGAACAUUGAGCCUUGAUGUGUAGGAUAGGUGGGAGGCUUUGAAGUGUGGACGCCAGUCUGCAUGGAGCCGACCUUGAAAUACCACCCUUUAAUGUUUGAUGUUCUAACGUGGACCCGUGAUCCGGGUUGCGGACAGUGUCUGGUGGGUAGUUUGACUGGGGCGGUCUCCUCCUAAAGAGUAACGGAGGAGCACGAAGGUUGGCUAAUCCUGGUCGGACAUCAGGAGGUUAGUGCAAUGGCAUAAGCCAGCUUGACUGCGAGCGUGACGGCGCGAGCAGGUGCGAAAGCAGGUCAUAGUGAUCCGGUGGUUCUGAAUGGAAGGGCCAUCGCUCAACGGAUAAAAGGUACUCCGGGGAUAACAGGCUGAUACCGCCCAAGAGUUCAUAUCGACGGCGGUGUUUGGCACCUCGAUGUCGGCUCAUCACAUCCUGGGGCUGAAGUAGGUCCCAAGGGUAUGGCUGUUCGCCAUUUAAAGUGGUACGCGAGCUGGGUUUAGAACGUCGUGAGACAGUUCGGUCCCUAUCUGCCGUGGGCGCUGGAGAACUGAGGGGGGCUGCUCCUAGUACGAGAGGACCGGAGUGGACGCAUCACUGGUGUUCGGGUUGUCAUGCCAAUGGCACUGCCCGGUAGCUAAAUGCGGAAGAGAUAAGUGCUGAAAGCAUCUAAGCACGAAACUUGCCC
This 1384-nucleotide ribosomal RNA is filed under the name Escherichia coli. RNAcentral's name for it is "partial 23S ribosomal RNA". It matches the Rfam family "Bacterial large subunit ribosomal RNA", at positions 1430 to 2799 of the family's 2925-position model. The record is from RNAcentral. Lineage: Bacteria; Pseudomonadati; Pseudomonadota; Gammaproteobacteria; Enterobacterales; Enterobacteriaceae.